AGAGUUUUCUAGUAGAAUAUUACUCUCCAUUCUCCCAAACUCUCUCUCUCAAACCCUUCUUCUUUCUAAGAGGUCUAGCUUGUAAUGCUAAAUUGGUAGGCUGACCCAAAAAUGUCUGUGGGCAAGCAAAGCUUCUAAGUAUCACAUGGUUGCUUGAGAAAUAAUAAGCCGGUGACAUAGGAGAGCCACAAACAAAAGGGUCGAAAAGAACAUUCAAGAAGAAGGAGAAAAGAGGAAAUAAGUGUUGAGAGAUAGAUCUCAAGUCCCUCUCAUAGAUUAGGAUUGAAUGCAUGCUCGAAAUAGACUCUGCAUGCUUUGCUUGGAGAUGCCUUAUUUGUUUCUACCAUGCUUAAUAACAGAUCUUCAUGUCUAGGCACCAUCCUAUCGCAGCGACAUACAAUGUGGAAACAAAGUCAAUCCAAGAGGGCCAGACAUGAAGUUGCUUCUGAUCUCAACUUUAGGAGGCUCAUUCGAGCUUUUGAGCUUUGAAUCGAAGAGGACUUUGUAUUCAUCAUCUGGUUUAAAGAAUAAAAAGUGAGGUCUACUUCUAAAGUUCUACAUGGUUCUAAAGUUAAAUCCAUCGAAAAAGAUGCAGAAAGUAUAAACAGCUCCAAGAUGCAUGCCAAGCGAGCAUUUUUUAUUUAAAUUUCAGUGAUACUGAAAGUUGCAAAUCAUAGUUAGGGAAAUCAACCUACAGAUUGGCUAACGAAUUAUAAUGUUUGAACAGUGAACACUCGAAGUAGUUCUCAUAUUAUGUUCAAAGCAUGCAACUCAAGUUGGAAGUCAUGCACUCAAAAGCUAAGCAACUUUUAAAGAGUUUUAAAGUCCCCCAACUUAUAUAUCUCAAAACAAUCAAUAACUUCCAUCAAGCUACCUUCUAAAAAGAAAUAUUAAAA
Long non-coding RNA from Phoenix dactylifera (date palm), 896 nucleotides. RefSeq lists it as uncharacterized. The record is from RefSeq and is a predicted model, not a curated record. Lineage: Eukaryota; Viridiplantae; Streptophyta; Magnoliopsida; Arecales; Arecaceae.